Long non-coding RNA from Homo sapiens (human), 1123 nucleotides. RefSeq annotates it as JUN divergent transcript. Lineage: Eukaryota; Metazoa; Chordata; Mammalia; Primates; Hominidae. The transcript is spliced from 4 exons. The record is from RefSeq and is marked validated.
UUCCGGGAAAACAAGCCCAGAAGGCGGCGGACACUCGCAUAAAGUCACGCAGUAGUACUCGGAGCCCGGGGUAGAACCUGGACUUCAAAUCUCUGCACUCCCGGCCGGGUGGUGGGCGCAUAUCCUGGGUAGCCUCUAGGAAGCGCUAGACACAUGGAACCAAGGCAGAUUCAGCCUGGCAGCUGGCAAGUCAUGGAGCACUGCCUGUCCAUCUGCGAGCUAACAACAGUCGCGCUGGAAGUCAACAAGGGAAAUGGAAAGGGAGAGACCCAGCCUCCACAGGGGCUCACGCCCUGGGACCUGUGCCAGUGUGAACAAGGUUUUCCGGCCCCAGGAAGCAGGCCUAAGUACUCUCAUUUCAUCACUGAGGAGCCUGAGACGUUCAGUCAUUGAUUGGACAGCCCUCACCAUUCAAGCCCUCCUUGGUUUACAGCAGCAGAAAGAGAGGCUCUGAAGGUUCUAGCCAGAGGAAGCUGCAGCCAGGCCUGGCAGUCUCCCCUGCUCCCUUCCACCAGCUUGGUUCCUGUUUCUGCUGGUCCUGGGAGCCCCCAGCAGAUGGACUGCCCUUAUCAGCCGGCUCCAGGCCAGAGGAGGAAUCCUCCGGUCACGUGUGGCUCUCUGGAGGGAGAGAGACCUCAUAAAUACAUACAGCCCACGCAGAGGAAGGGGGGAGGGUCAAGGGGAAAGAAACCUUGACAUUCUGGCGACUGGGCCAGGAUUAAAGUCCACCAGGCAUAGUCCUUAUUGGCUAUUUCUAUGAGGAAUCUCAAAUCCACAUGGCUUCCCUGGAUGACAACGCUGACUUUGACUAGCCCUGGGAUCUGGGGCAUUCCCAGUGUGCUGCUGGCUUGAUCCAGGCCUAAUCCUUUGCCCAGGACUGACCUUUCACAGUUUACAGAGCACUUUAUCUCCUGGCUCAGUGAAGUCUCACAGAACCCUCCAGAGAGAAGGGAGUUUAUCAUCACCCUCAAUUUACAGAUGAGGAAGCUGAGGCUGCGAUUGUAACUGACUGACUGCUGGCUACGCAGCUACAAGUGACCGAGUCCAGCCUGAAAGCCACAUAUAUUCUCCCACAAAAUCCAGAGCUGCCAAACACAUCCUCCUCCAUGAGUCUUGCUUUGUG